AAAUGUAAAAUAUUGACAUUUUUUAGUGACUAUGGUUUUACACUUUGUUUUCUUUCAAAUUACCAGGGAGCCUAAAUAAUUGGAAGUGGCCAAGGCAGGCUCUUAGUGUCUAAGGGCCCUGUUUUGCACACUCACUGAUCAGGAAAAGGUGAUAAAUACCUGAAAGACUUCUGAUGCUUCUCAUAGCCCUGUAAUAUAGCCUCUUGUAAACAGAAUUUAAGCCAUGUAUCGGGAUAUACUGUGAUUGCAGAAAUGGUAACAAACAUCAUUAAACUGAGAAAGGAGACUCAUCUAAGCAACUGAGAAGAAGAGUGGAAAAGAAUGAAAUAAAAGAAACAACUGUCAUCCAAUAUGUUAACCUCAAAUAUGAGAAAAUUAAUAUUUAUAAUGAAUAAAGAACAAAUAUAUUUGUGUGAG
Leopardus geoffroyi (Geoffroy's cat) is the source of this 417-nucleotide long non-coding RNA. RefSeq lists it as uncharacterized. The record is from RefSeq and is a predicted model, not a curated record. Lineage: Eukaryota; Metazoa; Chordata; Mammalia; Carnivora; Felidae. The transcript has 4 exons.